AAUAGAACAUGAGUUGACCACAUAAUAGUCCAGCAUAUAUAUAGAGAGCUAUAAAAUUUGAGUAUUUCACAAGUCUACCUCAGAGUUUUAUGGGUCGAUUCUAGUAGGAUAGAAGCUAACCCCAGCAAAACAUGAGUCGACCCCAGAAUGAUCUUAAGGUGAAGAUAGAGAGCAAUGAAUAUGGCUCAUUCGCAAGUUGACCAUAGCACUUCAUAAAUAAACCUCGAGAUGGAACGAGUCGACCCCAACUUUAGCCAAGUAGACCUCAGAAUGGCUACAGUCAAAAUAUAGAGAGUUGUCUUAAGAGAAAGUGUUUCAUGAGUCGAUCUUUGACUGAGAAGAGUCGAUCUCUCUAUGCCUGACAACCC
This 368-nucleotide long non-coding RNA is filed under the name Elaeis guineensis (African oil palm). RNAcentral describes it as "long non-coding RNA (EGUI_LNC034361)". The record is from RNAcentral. Lineage: Eukaryota; Viridiplantae; Streptophyta; Magnoliopsida; Arecales; Arecaceae.